This 291-nucleotide ribosomal RNA is filed under the name uncultured Bacteroidota bacterium. RNAcentral describes it as "uncultured Bacteroidetes bacterium partial 16S ribosomal RNA". Lineage: Bacteria; Pseudomonadati; Bacteroidota. The record is from RNAcentral.
GGACUACCCGGGUAUCUAAUCCUGUUCGAUACCCACGCUUUCGUGCAUCAGCGUCAAUCAUUGUUUAGUAAGCUGCCUUCGCAAUCGGUGUUCUGUGUUAUAUCUAUGCAUUUCACCGCUACACAACACAUUCCGCCUACCUCAACAACAUUCAAGAAUACCAGUUUCUAUGGCUUGAUACAGUUAAGCUGUAUGAUUUUACCACUGACUUAAUAUCCCGCCUACGCACCCUUUAAACCUAAUAAAUCCGGAUAACGCUUGCAUCCUCCGUAUUACCGCGGCGGCUGGCAC